Molecule: non-coding RNA, 599 nt
Organism: Callithrix jacchus (white-tufted-ear marmoset)
Lineage: Eukaryota; Metazoa; Chordata; Mammalia; Primates; Cebidae
Source: RefSeq, a predicted model, not a curated record
AAAAGGAUACACAUAAUAACCCUGAUGAGUCAAGUCUGAUAUGUUUGCUGGAACGAUUAGAAACGGGAUGUUCCCCUUUCCAUGGUGUUGCCAGGGUGGUGGAAUGGAAGUCUGGAGUGGUUGGAGCUGAUUUUGCCACCAAAGAACAAAAAUAAAAACCAACAUUAAAAAAAAGCAUAAUUUGUGAUGGAGAGAGACAGAAUUCAGUUGGAUGUUUGAAUAUCUGAAUCUAGAAAUGCCCAAGACAAUGGAACUUUUCAAAGGUCCUACUUUCAGAAAAUAUAAAGAAAGCAAGGAAGGCAUGAGGAACAAAUGGAAAGGAUGAUAGAUUAGAACUUUUAACCGAAGCAAGCAGACAGAUUUGAAAUGCCAACGUGAACUGUGAGACAGACCUAGAAUGGGUUACGUGACUGCAACCAACGUAGAAAGACUGCACCAGCAGAAAUGGGGAAGGCUCCCACCAGAUUUCUUCAUGAACUCAAUGUGUGCUUCCUGUAGUUGACCCAUAGGUGUGGGGUGGUGGUGGUGGGGUCAAUCUUAAGCAUCACAAAGAGUGUAAAAUAUCUCAUGUUAAUUUUUAUAUUGGUUACUCAUUUAAA